Molecule: long non-coding RNA, 205 nt
Filed under: Lathyrus oleraceus (garden pea)
Lineage: Eukaryota; Viridiplantae; Streptophyta; Magnoliopsida; Fabales; Fabaceae
Description: Pisum sativum (pea) long non-coding RNA (PSAT_LNC030105)
Source: RNAcentral
ACGACGUCAACAACUUAUCAAUCAUGAAUCAAGUUGUACGAUACGAGCCUUAAGUAAUGGAGAAGGAGUGGGACUGGAGUAUUCCUACCCCCAUUCAGAGUAUCUUUGGGUAUGGGACGUAUGACCCAACACUUAUCGUAUUCGCCUCCAUUCAUAGACUUUAGUGCAAUUCGAAUCUAACGACUGAUAAGGUCUUCAUCAUCAC